UACGUAGGGAGCAAGCGUUGUUCGGAUUUACUGGGCGUAAAGGGCGCGUAGGCGGCAAUUCAAGUCAUCUGUGAAAUCUCCGGGCUUAACUCGGAACGGUCAGAUGAUACUGUUUUGCUAGAGUGCGGAAGGGGCAAUCGGAAUUCUCGGUGUAGCGGUGAAAUGCGUAGAUAUCGAGAGGAACACCUGAGGUGAAGACGGGUUGCUGGGCCGACACUGACGCUGACAGCGCGAAAGCCAGGGGAGCAAACGGG
This 254-nucleotide ribosomal RNA is filed under the name uncultured bacterium. RNAcentral describes it as "partial 16S ribosomal RNA". It matches the Rfam family "Bacterial small subunit ribosomal RNA", at positions 524 to 776 of the family's 1533-position model. The record is from RNAcentral.